CCUCAGUACCCCUUGCAUGUUGUAAGAGGUGACUAAAUGGGGCAUACCGAAAAAAUCGAGGCCCUGUGUCACAGCAGGUGUAGCAAAAUAAACAUCCCUCCCUGCUCAAAGGCCGUAGGCUCUGAGCAUAGGCUUAACUUUUGCAGCCCAUCACCGGCAAUGGUGAUGUCUCCAAAUGAGUGAAACAAUCAAUAUUAAUCUCAAAUAGUUAAGUUGAAAAUUUUCACAAAUAAAAAGCAAUUGAAUGCGCGAUCAAAUUUGCAAAGAAGAAAAAACAGGUAUGCAGUUACUAUACAAAAUAUUUUUUGUCACCUAUUCAUGAUUUACUUUGCAGGUACCAAGGAGAGUGAGAAAAUGAGCAACAUCAUAUUGUCAAGCCAAAUGAAGAAGGAUAUACCCAAGCUAUCGCCAUUGUUUCAAACUUCCCAAAUCGAGGCUUUUCACAGCACAAUUAAUCACUUUGCCCCAAAGAUGAUAGCUUUUUCUUAUCAUGGAAUGUAUUGUAGGUUGAUGAUUGCAGCUCUACAUUUUAAUGAGAAUUCCUCAAGGUCGCAUGCCAUAACGAAGGAGGGGGACCGACAAUUUAAGAUCAGCUUCCCAAAGUACAAGCAUGGGGAAUGCAGUGUUCGUAGGAAGCCUGUUGAUCCUACAUUUAACUAUGCAUCCGUCCUGAUCUAAGAGACUUAUUUGGCCUUUCAAGAGUCAUCAGAACCAUUACCAUGCUCAUUACCAGCUCAACCACCUCCACUGUGCAGUGAAUUUUUCCAUCCUCACAAAGAAGAAGCGGUUCUACAUUUUAGAUCAAGGUUCAGUCGGAAGGAGACAUCCGUGUGAAUGUGAACAAAACGUGACGCUAGCUCUUUGGACAUUCUAGCAAAGCAGAUAAAAGAUAUGUUGGUCAUACAGAUGUGCUCUUUUUUAAUCUUGUUUAAAAAUGUUAAAUUAUUGUGAAACAUCUUUAUCUUCGGGUUUUGUUUAAAUCUGAACCAAAGUCAUACACAGCAGUAGGUUGUGAAAACACAUUAUUUUUUUUACAAAUACAAAAUUACUGGGGACAACCAUGAUAUAGGGUCUGACCGUUAGGUAACAAUCUGUUUGGAACAGUGUAUUUUUGCAAAUAAUUUAUAGAAUGAAAUAUUAGCAUAGUAUAUGUAGUAUUAGCUUAGUAUAUAUAAAAGUUGUAAGAGUUAAAAAAUGAUAAAACUUUUUUUCUUAAAUGGGAACAUGAAAGCAGGGUCCUCGUCCCGUUCCUGGGUGCAGAAACAUUUUAUUUAAAAUAUUGUUUGUGUAGCUGAUGCUUUCUAGAAAAUUGAUAUUUUGUAGUAUUCUGUUUUGCCAGUAUAUAAUUAUGAUAUUUUUACUACUAUUAUGUUCAUAAAUGUAUUAUUUUUGGGCCAUUUCUGUUAGAAUGUUGUGCUUGAUUUUUUUUUGUAUACAUCAUGUAUGAAUCGUACAUUUAUUUAAAAAAAAGUUGCUUCAUCCAAAUCAUACCAUCACUCAGGUGCAUUGAACCCUUGAUACACCUCAGAGGCAAAGGAAUUCCGUCACAGCACAUGAGGGUAGAGGGACUCGUACCUUGUGCCCUAGGUAUCCUUAGCACCAUCAAACAAAUUAUCUGUGUGCUGUGUAUCUGUUACACCUGCAAUUCCAGGAAAUGUUUGGAAUUAUUCACUAAUGAUGAACUAGCAAUGGUCAUGUGAAUUUUGCAUUGAUUAGAUCAAUAAAAAAAAUUGACUUGCUCUUCAAUUGUUGCCUUCAUUUCUCCAGUAUUGGUAGUAUGCCGUCUCGAGCUCAUACUCAUCUAAACACACUGAUGAAAACCCAGGGUGUUCAGUAAUUCGGGCCAGUUCCUUGUUUAUUGACUCCCUCUCCUCAUCAACCCUUGGCAAUUCGGUGCAGCAUGCACUUUCCUUGGCAGCUGACAUGGAAAUAGAAUCCACAUGGACACCUAAAAUGAUUUGUAAACCAUGUAAAA
Long non-coding RNA from Ostrea edulis (European flat oyster), 1975 nucleotides. RefSeq lists it as uncharacterized. The record is from RefSeq and is a predicted model, not a curated record. NCBI's taxonomy places the organism in Eukaryota, Metazoa, Mollusca, Bivalvia, Ostreida, Ostreidae. The transcript has 3 exons.